GACGAACGCUGGCGGCGUGCCUAAUACAUGCAAGUCGAACGCUUCUUUCCUCCCGAGUGCUUGCACUCAAUUGGAAAGAGGAGUGGCGGACGGGUGAGUAACACGUGGGUAACCUACCCAUCAGAGGGGGAUAACACUUGGAAACAGGUGCUAAUAUCGCAUAACAGUUUAUGCCGCAUGGCAUAAGAGUGAAAGGCGCUUUCGGGUGUCGCUGAUGGAUGGACCCGCGGUGCAUUAGCUAGUUGGUGAGGUAACGGCUCACCAAGGCCACGAUGCAUAGCCGACCUGAGAGGGUGAUCGGCCACACUGGGACUGAGACACGGCCCAGACUCCUACGGGAGGCAGCAGUAGGGAAUCUUCGGCAAUGGACGAAAGUCUGACCGAGCAACGCCGCGUGAGUGAAGAAGGUUUUCGGAUCGUAAAACUCUGUUGUUAGAGAAGAACAAGGGCGUUAGUAACUGAACGUCCCCUGACGGUAUCUAACCAGAAAGCCACGGCUAACUACGUG
This 508-nucleotide ribosomal RNA is filed under the name uncultured bacterium. RNAcentral describes it as "partial 16S ribosomal RNA". It matches the Rfam family "Bacterial small subunit ribosomal RNA", at positions 28 to 507 of the family's 1533-position model. The record is from RNAcentral.